Molecule: ribosomal RNA, 505 nt
Filed under: uncultured bacterium
Lineage: Bacteria
Description: partial 16S ribosomal RNA
Rfam family: Bacterial small subunit ribosomal RNA
Source: RNAcentral
GACGAACGCUGGCGGCGUGCCUAAUACAUGCAAGUCGAACGCACAGUUUAUACCGUAGCUUGCUACACCAUAGAUUGUGAGUUGCGAACGGGUGAGUAACGCGUAGGCAACCUGCCUGGUAGCGGGGGAUAACUAUUGGAAACGAUAGCUAAUACCGCAUAAUAUUAAUUAUUGCAUGAUAAUUAAUUGAAAGGUGCAAUUGCACCACUACCAGAUGGACCUGCGUUGUAUUAGCUAGUAGGUGAGGUAACGGCUCACCUAGGCGACGAUACAUAGCCGACCUGAGAGGGGGAUCGGCCACACUGGGACUGAGACACGGCCCAGACUCCUACGGGAGGCAGCAGUAGGGAAUCUUCGGCAAUGGACGAAAGUCUGACCGAGCAACGCCGCGUGAGUGAAGAAGGUUUUCGGAUCGUAAAGCUCUGUUGUAAGAGAAGAACGGGUGUGAGAGUGGAAAGUUCACACUGUGACGGUAUCUUACCAGAAAGGGACGGCUAACUACGUG